Molecule: ribosomal RNA, 464 nt
Filed under: uncultured bacterium
Lineage: Bacteria
Description: partial 16S ribosomal RNA
Rfam family: Bacterial small subunit ribosomal RNA
Source: RNAcentral
CGAACGCUGGCGGCGUGCUUAACACAUGCACGUCGAACGGAAAGGCCCUGCUUGCAGGGUACUCGAGUGGCGAACGGGUGAGUAACACGUGGGUGAUCUGCCCUGCACUUCGGGAUAAGCUUGGGAAACUGGGUCUAAUACCGGAUAGGAACCAUCUUUAGUGUGGUGGUUGGAAAGUUUUUUCGGUGUAGGAUGAGCUCGCGGCCUAUCAGCUUGUUGGUGGGGUAAUGGCCUACCAAGGCGGCGACGGGUAGCCGGCCUGAGAGGGUGUACGGCCACAUUGGGACUGAGAUACGGCCCAGACUCCUACGGGAGGCAGCAGUGGGGAAUAUUGCACAAUGGGCGCAAGCCUGAUGCAGCGACGCCGCGUGGGGGAUGAAGGCCUUCGGGUUGUAAACUCCUUUCGCUAGGGACGAAGCUUUGUUGUGACGGUACCUAGAUAAGAAGCACCGGCUAACUACGUG